UGAGUCCUUCCCCAUCUUGUCCUAUAUAACCAAGGCCUAGUCGCUUCUUUUAAGUUUGCCACCUUGAACUACUUUCAUUCAAUCUCUCUCUUUUGCCCAAAAAAAAAUAUGGCCUCCCAUGGAAACAUUACUGUAAGCACCUCCCCAAAAGGCAGCAACUCGGAAGCAGCUGUGCCAACCAAUUCACCCAAAGGCGGCCAAUGUUUGUGCUCACCAACGACUCACCAGGGCUCGUUUCGAUGCAGAUUUCAUCGGUCAAGUUCAUCAGCCUGGAUGAAGCGAUCAAAGUCCAUGCCUGCCAAUGGUUCCCUGGCUUCUCUUUCUCCCAAGUCUGUGGAAUCUACAUAAAUUAUAAAUACUAAAACUCUGUUCCUAUAAGCAUAUGUUCCUCCAUGUUCUCAUGAAAAUCUCCCUUUGUCUCCCUACUAUGUGAAAAAGAGAAUAUCUAGGUAUGCUGGAUUUUCUGUAUUUGCUUGGGAUAUGUGAUUAUAAAUAUCUGCAACUGUUUAAAUUCAAAGAGCUAAUCAAGAGCUUAGCUUCUAUUGAUUGUUGUCUGGUAAAGCUCUCUCUCCUUUCCAAGUUAACUGCAAAAAUAGCUAUUAGUUCAACACUUCUCAAUUCUCAUGCAUCGAUAUGCAAUCGAUCUACAAGCAAAAUCCUGACUGGUUUCAUCUUAAUUUUGUCUUUGCACUAACCUUUAUUGCCAUAGCUUGUUUGUAGUUUCCCUCUACCUCUUUGUCCCAUAGCUGAGUUGAUCAUUAACAAACCUGACCCUACGAUUUCAUAAAGGCGAAUUUCGAUUCUAAAUUCUCAUCAUACUUAAUUGCCAAAGGAUUCUUUUAUCUAGUAACUGAUCACAUAUUCAAAGGUGAUAUAGCUUUUGGAAAUAUCUCAACUUUAAAUCUAACCUACCUUUCAUGGUUUCCAGCUAUAAAGCUAAUUAUAUGUUCCUUUCAACUACAGCAUAAAGAACAUUCUAAAGAAAUUAAAGUUAUCUUUCUAAUAUCUGUCCAUCCUUGAUAAUCAGAUGCCUAUGCCAUUUGAGCCCCAGGGCUGACCUUUUUUUUUUUUUUGCUUAAAAUAUAAGAGAUCUUUAUCCACAUAAAACUGUGAAUAUUGCCUUGCCUCCCAAUUUUUUCUGGACUCAAAUGGAACGGUUUGAGAUGAGCUUUGAAUGGUCUGCAAUGGUUUUGUCAACUUAUAUUUGAAAUUGCAUUUGCAUGAUUCAAAAAUCAAGGAAAGAAUAAUCUUUUCCCUUUUUUUUCCAAAUAAGUUAGCAGCCAAAAAGGCAAUGGGCCUUUGGAUAAUGACAGUGGAAGAGUAUGCACCAGUUUGAUUGAUUGUUUCGUGCCUUGUAUAUUACUCUUCUCUCAAAAAGAUGUCACUUUCUCUAUGGUUUGUUUAUAUAUCCUUUUUAAUUUAAAUGAAGGCACUGAGAUGUACAGUGAAUGAAAUUAAAAGACAAUUAUAAUGCAUGCACAUGGAUUCAAAGUCAUAAUAAGAUUAAUUAGUGAGAUUGCCUUAUCCAAUGUUUUUUUGUUUAGUCUUUCUUUUUUCUUCUAAAUAAAAAUGAUGGAAUCCCCCCAUCACCAACUAACUUUUUUGAAUAAUUCUAUUAAAAAUGUCAUGGCUUGUCUCUUAUUCAAUGUUUUCAAAACCAAACAUAAAGCUGGGUUACAUUUGAUACUCUUCCUCAGAUGAGACAUGUUCUAAUGGGUAUGGUUUUUGCUAAUAUUUAAAAAUUAUAAUGAAUAAUUGCAUGACACAAAGAAACAUUAAUUUGAUUAAUAAUAAUUGAAUUCAUACUAUAAAUGAAUUGGAUAAAAGUGAUUCUGUAACAUUUUAGUGUUUCAUAUGCUUAUUCUUUAGAAAAAAAAUUGACAUCAUUUUACUUGUUAAACCCCCAAAAUGAAAUCAAUGUGUCUUUUUAGGCCAAAAAAUAUAUGAUCCAAAUGCUUUUACAUCCCAUCCCUUGAUUUGGCAUCAAUGUUUUAUAAUUGAAAUUUGAGGUUGAAUAUUUUUUAUUUGAAAAUUAGAAUAAAAACUUAUUAUGUAUUGAUGUAAAUUUUAUCGAAUUGAUGUCACUUUUUGUGUCAAUAAUUUUUUGACGAAAUAAAAUUCAAAUGAUAUUCCAUCGAAACGUUUGUCACAGAAUAAAUCCAUCCAAAAAGGUGAAUUUUUUGUAGUACCGCUCUUCAAAUAGAAAAGAUAUAUGACAUGAUAAAAUAUUUAAAGGAAAAAUGUAAUUAUUCCAAAACAAAAAGGAUAUUGGGAAUUGAUUUUACCUUUUACACUCAAAAGUUUAUUCCAAUUUUAUAUUCAACUCUAAAAUUUUAUACACUCUUUCCAUAAUAAAUAAAUAUUGAAAAUGCACAUAUUCUAUCCUAUGAUCAUGCUUUUUCUUUUAAGUUUUGCUACUCAAAAUCCACAAUUUUCCUGUUUAUUUUCUUCCAAUAAAAAGUAAAAAAAAAAAAAAGGAUUUUGUCAAUAGAAAAACUAAUGAGAGCAUAAUUGUACUUUCAGCCCAUUGCCAUGUUGCCUACUUUUGCAAUUGCAAAUUUUCAAAGCUUCUUAUCUUCAAAACAAAAAUGCCCAAUCUUUUGGCAAUCCCCACCUUAUUAUUUGACAUCGCUUUAAUAAUAUCUUAAAACACCAACCAAGACUAAGUGUGUACUCUUUAAAUUUAAAAUAAUGAUGACAACUAGUGCGUUUAGUAAAGGAAUGAAUUAUUUAUACCUUAAAAUUUUGGGGUAAAUAUAUUUAAAGUUGGUUAUUGCUCAAUUAUUGCAAAAGAAACAAAAAAAAAUUCCUACAAAUUUUCCAAUACCAAAUCGAAUGAUCUAAAAAAAUUAAUAAAUAUCUUGGCCCCAUCUGACGUGUAACUAUAACGAAUAUAAAACGACAACCUGGUACACUGAAGAAGCGUCCACCCCUUACUCUCGGCCCAUCCACUCUAAAAUCUCCACCAGAAACAAGAUCCAAACCCCAACGAUAACAACAAAAAUGUCGAAACGGGACGGACGGGAUUCGUCCGUACCGUACGCCGCUCUCCCCUCAAACCCUAACCAGCAAAACGUCAUCGUUUUACCAGUUUAUUACAGCCGCCCGAACCAAAACUACCGUUGUCUCCGCCGUUGCCUCAUCUUCACCGGCAUUGUCGUCCUCCUCUCCGCCGCCGUAUUCUUCCUGUACCCUUCCGAUCCAACUCUCCAACUCGUCCGACUCCAACUCAACGACGUCCGAGUCAACUCGUCGCCCGCACUUACCCUCGACCUCUCUUUUUCUUUGACCAUCAGGGUCCGUAACAGGGACUUCUUUUCUUUGGACUAUGACAAGCUUGUCGUUUCGGUUGGGUAUAGAGGGAGGGAGCUUGGGGUGGUGAGUUCGGAAGGAGGGCGUGUGAGAGCUAGAGGGAGCUCCUACGUGAACGCCACGCUUGAUUUGAAUGGGUUUGAGGUGGUUCACGAUGUGAUUUAUUUGAUUGCGGAUUGGGCCAAAGGGGUUAUUCCCUUUGAUACUAAUACUAAGGUUGAUGGAGAUCUUGGUCUUUUCCUCUUUAAAGUUCCCAUCAAGGUUAGCCGUUAAAAGAAAAUCCCUUUUUACUGGUUUUCUUGAAUUUGGUUCUGCAUUCAAUUUGAUAGUUUAAUUGGUUUGAAGAGUAUUAUUUUGUGAUGAAAAUACGUUUUCAUUUUUUUAGCAUUUGAGUUUUAUUCUGCUCUGGCAAGUGAGUUUUAGUUAAUCAGUUUAUUGGUGAUGAUGCACAUUGCUGUUUGGUGGAUUGGCGAUGUUAAAACUUAGCUCUGAUGAUAGGUGCUUCUUCCAACUUGGUUAAGAAACUUUUUGAAAGGAACCUAGCUAUUUAGCCUAGCUUAUUGGAUUUUAGUUUUAAGUGCUGACCAGGGAAGAUGAAUCAACCCAAAAAAGGGACUAAUGUCUUAUGGGUGGUUGAGUAGAAACAUGAUCCACUUUUUAAUAACCUUAUUUUAGCCACACCAAACGCAUGGGUCAGGUUUUCCUUUAGUUGCAGUUAUGUUCUCAGUUCAGUCACAUCUUACCAAUGCAUAUUUGGAGAAUGCUUGCUAGUGCAGUACACUGUGAAUGCAGGCCAAAAUGUCAACUUUGUUUCAUUUAUAGUGAUUUGGUUGUUCGAUGUAGUUUUUUUUAUUUGAAGGGAUCAAUGCUGUUUUGGACUCAAUAAAGUUGUCUUAAAAUAAAAUCAUAUCUCUAGCAUUAAUUACUCGGUACAAAAAGCUGAAGCAGGGCUAAAUCCUUGAAUUUUAGUUGACGCGUAGAUGGCUAGUUAAAACAAGUAGGUACAUCACACCAUCACGAGAGAAUUUUUCAUUCGCAGUGGAUUUAAUAAGUUGGUUAAAAGUAUUGGAUGACUGCACUACUGGACCAUUGGAGCUUUGUGACUAAAACCACAGCAUGAUUAUGGAGUGAUUAAAACUAGUUCAACAUGAGUCGAUGCUUGUUUGUGUCAAAAAGUGACAAAGAGACCUUUGAAAAUCUUGGUACUUAAUUACUUGGGUUUGACUAUAAAUGUAUUAACGCUCAUAAUUUAUGAUGAAUGAGCAGAAAUUUUGUAAAGUGAAAACUUUUUCUUAUCUUUUCUGGGGAAGGGACAGGUUUUGUUUAUUGGUCAUUGAGAUGGCUAAUUGAAAACAGCUAAGCUAAGCAGAUGUGUGAAGGUGUUGAAACAGAUUGAGAUGGAGAACUAUUGUGCUAAAACGACAAAGCAAGCCUAUGAUUGGGCCCAAAUUGCUCAGAUAUGGCACACAAGUUGGUUGAUUAAUUGAGCAGAAGCAAUGAAAGGAUUAGUGUUUCCAUGCUUCAAAGUUCUUUUUUGUUAUUGAUACCUACUCAAUGAUUCAUUAGCAUCAUUCUGUACAAAUUGUAUUUAUAAUAGUACAGUCCUUACCAACAGAAUUGUAGCUUAUGCUUAUUGGAAAUUGUUUAAUAUGCGUAAUACAUAUGAAAACCUUUAUAUGUCUUGAGCAUUUAGUUGAAAAUGCAAAGUUCGUAGUUAGCAGCCAGCAUUCAUCUAUGUUUAUGAACAUGUGGAAAAGGCCUUGCAUCCCUGCUAACCCCCCAACCUGUUUUUCUUUUUCUUUUCUGAGGAUUGUUGUUUGGUACAAUAAAGUUAAAAUGUGCUUAUUUUCCGGAAUUCUUCACUCUGUUCCUUUUUAAUGGUUGUUUUAAAUAAUUCUGCAUGCUGAAUGAGAAUGCUUUAUGCUUCAACUACGUUUGAUUUAUGUUUCUAAUUUUCUAUGAUGUUUCAGGCAGAAGUAUCAUGUGAGGUAUAUGUAAAUACAAAUAACCAGACAAUUGUUCGUCAGGAUUGCUAUGCGGAGGUGAGGAUCCAUUUUUUGUUAUCCCUCUUUUAUUACAGUUAAUCUCUAGGUCUGUAAACCACAUUACAAGGAUGAUACGAACUUGAAGUAUAUAUGGAAUUGCUUGAUAAAGUGUGUGAACUAGGCGUGUGCUAAUGUGCUUUCAGACAAAAUGAUCAACUAUUCUGAUUUGGACAUUGCUUGCUCAUUGACAUUAUAUGCCAACAUAAAUUAUAAUUUGGGGGUCAUGAUCAAUUUGAGAGAAUUGGGAACUUGAUAAGCUGGAUUAAAAUUUGCUUUUGUAUCAUUGGCACACCCAUUAUCAUGGUGCAGGAAAAGUUUCAAAACAUUUUUUUUUCUGUUUUAAAAAGAGGGGAAAAGAAGUUAGGAAAGCAGGUUGCUCCUCCUUCUAUGCGUUAUUCUGUGGUUUCUGAUGUUCCAUGUGAACUGAAACUAGUGUAAUGUGGAACAUCAAGAUCCCUCAACCCAUUUUUUUCUUCCUUUACUUGCUAAGGACUGGUUUGAGAUUGCUUCCUGCUAUCAAUAUAAGAAGACUUUUUUAAUCCCUGUAGUCAUGUUUUUCAUAAAAUAUAGUAGUAUAUAUUUUACAUUUUUAAUCAUAACCCAUGAAUUGGUUUUGUGUUUUACAGUAAUGUGGUGGACAAUGCUCUGAUCUACCUUUUCAGCCCAUAUAUGUACUAGAAGUGGACAGAAUUGGAUGCUGGGUGAUUUUGUCAGCCCUUUGGUUAUAUUGUACAUGUUAAUGUAAGUGAUCCUAGUUUGGUUAGUUGGUGCAUAUUAACUAGCAGUUGUAAACUAAUGAUUGGAUGAAAACGGUUUAUUCAACUAAGAAAGGAAGCCAUUAUUUUUUUUUUCCUGUAUCUUACAUAUAUCAUUUAUUAAGAUUUACACGGAUGAGGUUGCCUAGAUUUGAGUUCUAUGUGAAAUUUAAUUUACAUUCCAGGUUGCUCUUAACUGCACAGACAGGCCAUACUGCUGAUCAGUAGUUAUAUUCUUUUAAGCUGAAUAAGGACAAAAAGGAAAUCCUCUUGCUGCUGCUAUUCAUUGUUAAUUUAUCAAUUCUCGUCAUGAAGAGUUUGGUGGGUGUCGAUUGUUUUCGUUUUUACUUUUGUACAAUUGAAUAUGGCCAACAGGGCGGAAGAAGUUCAAUCUUUGCACUUUAAUGUUCACAUGGAAGGGUAAAAUUGUUAGGCCAUGCUAAGGUUAUCAACUUAUUUAAGGGUGGGUGGUCAAUCUACGAAGAUGGUAAAACUGAAGCUCAUUACCCUGAUUUCUACAGUUUUCUUUUUUCGAUACUGAAUUCCAAUAUUAAACAUCUGCAAAACCCCCCGUCCUAUCAUUGUGGCAUGGCAUAUUCAGCUUUAUCUAAGAUAAGAGGGACAGAAGGGAAGGGGAAAGGGGGUUACCGAAGAAAAGGUUAGGGAGGUGCAGGUAUCGUGGGCAAAAGCUAUAAUGGGGUAAGAAAUUUUGAGAAAACAGAUACAGGUUUGCAGAAUUGACCAAUCAACCUGUAUAUUUUGUUUGUAAAUUCACAAGGAAAUAAAACAAAUGAAGAAUCUAAGAAGAGGAGGCCGUCCAUAUAGUUAUAGAAGUGUUCAAAUCAUUGGUUCCUUUGUACAAUGAUUUUAGACCUUCAACUAAAACUACUGGUCAUUCUUUUGUUACAAAUCGACCAACCUAGACGUCCUCCGCGCAGUGGUACGAUCAUUUCUUGCUGAUGAAUCGACCACCCCACACAUAUUCCCCAUGGUGAUGCCUACACCUAAACGACCCCGGGUGCUUCGUAGGUGAACACAAACACUGCUUCAUCGAGGUCGAGCCAGCUCCACCAGUCUCUCUUGCCACCCCAGCUCUUGGUGCAUGACGCGCAGCAGCCAUCAUUGAUGCCUGCAAAACGAACCAUCUGCGUUGCGCCACCAAGCCCUGUUUACCAACGGAAGGAACGCUUGUAUAGCACAUUUGUUUCUCCUUUCUUCUUUUUGCCCCUUCUCUCCCUUCUACCUCUCACUCUGGGUGGUAUUAUGUUGCUGCUGUGUGAGCAGAGCUUAAAAAGCAAAGAAUCUAGGCACCGGUGAGAUUAUAUGAUGGAAGGAAAGUAAGGAAUAAGGAGAGGUGGGCAAGGAAAGUUUUGAGCAUAAAGCGUUUUUGAUUGAUUCCAGAAAGCUUUUGCUUUAUCUUCAAAGCUUCGACUAGGUGCUUAUUUUAGAUCCGUCCAAAAGCAGCAGCUGCUCAUAUGCCCACUAGUCCAAAACAUGGCCUAACAAACAGAUACUUGCCCUCAAUGAUUCCAGUUCAAAAUCAGGUGCUGCCACGGCCUCCUAUGUCAAACGUGGCAGCACCUCAACGGUUCUGUCCUGACAGAUUAUAAAGUCUCUCUCCUAAUGCCUGCAUGACUUAGAUUACGACUCUGAUCAGGUCACUUUAGUUAGUCACUUUUUGAAACUUCCUUUGUUCGGUAAAUGGUGAUUGCUUAAGUUAAGCUUGCACAUGUUUUUCCACGCGGGAUAAAGUUUGGUUAGGCGGAAGCUGAAAUUAGGCUUGGCUUUUUAACAGGGGCUGUUGUCAUGUGGAAAUUACGAGUGUGAAGAACAAUGGUUGAGCUGAUGCUGACGCUUUUCCUAGUCCUAUCCUCGUCAAAAGCACAUUUCUUCUUGGAUUUUAGCAAACGACAAUGCCUUUUUGUCACCAUACUACUGGAAACACUGCGUGUAAUUGGGUAAAAGUAGUAAUGUAGUAAGGCGGAAGGUUGUUUUUGGCACGUACCAGGGAAAGCAUAGUAGGCUGUUUUUGGGACUACCAUAUCUAAUGGACAAGGCAAUCACUUCAGAAGAAUUUUCAAAGUCCCAUCUGCAUCUCUCGGUCCCUCUAGAAUUGUUGUUAUACUACUACUACUACUCCUAGUAGGUGACAACGGACAAGUCUUCCAUCCAUUAAAGAUAAUAACUGGAAACGUUAUUCUCAAAUACUGAUAUACAUGAUUCCAGUAUUUCUUAGUGAUUUAUACUACUUAUUUAGUUUAAUAAUAGUAUUAUCUUGCAGUUAAAAUAACAAUCAACCAUAUCUCUUUUUGAGCAAAUAAAAGAGAGAAAAUAAAAUCUUUUAUUGAAUUUUUAAAUCGAUAUUCAACUUUAAACCAAUUGACAAACAUAUAAAGAGAUUCUUAUUAUAUUUAUAUGUUUAAGAUACUCUUAACUUAAUAGAUAUGAGAUUUUUUAUUAUUAUUUUAAUAUUUUUCUUCACAUGUAAAGAUAAUGGAUCUAUCACGUGAUAUGAAUCACAGUUAAAUUCAUAAAGCAAUCAACAAAUAGAGUCAAAGCCUAUUUUAAUACCAAAUUAAAAUUUUAAAUUGAUAUCCAACUUAAAAUCAAUAUAUAAUAAAUAAAAAAUUGUUUUUUGAUUUAUAUAAUAUAAUCAGUAUGGCCUACCUAUUACAGUCGAAGAAAAUAUGCCAUCAGGCGGCCAAGAUCCUCAUUCAUGUUAGUUCAGCUUGUUUAGUUGCUCUUGAGAUUUGGGCAUGAGGCCCUUUAUCUUAUACAUAAGAAAAGUUACUAGAAUUAAGCUUUAUCAGGCUUUUCAGCCUAAGAGAACGAAGGCCCAUUACCCCGUCUGCAUUUUGCAGUACGAAAUUGCAAGUCGUUUUAAUUUGACCUGGUUCCUGGUUUCCUAUUUGGUGACUUGGUACAAGCUCUUGGAUUUACCUCUGUUGUUAACAAGGCAAUGGAAAGCAAAAGCAAUGUGGAGGAAAGAAGAGAGAUUUCUUUCUGGCCCGUCCCUUGUGGCUUCUUUAAUUUUAUGAAGGAAAAAUGUAGAAUUAUAAUCAAAAGCCGCAAAGAAAGAACAAAUAAAGGAAGAAGAAGACUCAGUUUCUCUUGAACUAGCACAAUUCAAGUCUCUGUCCCUAACAAUGGCAUUGGGAAUUGCAAUUUCUACAAUGACAACAGCCCAACUGCACUAAUUGUUGAAGGGGUUUUCAAUUCAGCUUCUGCUGGGAUUUUGAUUUACAUGGCUGCGGAUUUCCAUGAACCCAAGGUUGCAAAGCAAUGUUAGGCUUCAACAAGGAGCAAAUGUCUCACUUCUUCUAGGGGCUGGCUGGCAUCUCUGUGUCGGCCAAAUGGGCUUGUUCAAUUGUGGGUGUUUUUCUUCUCUGAAGUAAUGCAUGCCCUCCUUUUGUACCAUUCAAUUUUGGUACAUGCCCAAUGAUAUUUAUAUGCUUUUUCUCCAUUGGAGCAUUACCUUGGUCUACAAUAUUGCGUAGACUUAUUGUCCACUUCAAAAACUAAUAGAUUCAUGUAAAAUUAUCAUUAAAAGUUAGAGAGUGAAAAUAUUUUACUCAAAUAAAUAAAUAAAACCAAAAAUAACAAAUCAUGUCAAAACCAAUUUUGUGUAAUACCAACAUCUUUGAUGGAAUGUUGGGGAGUAACACCUUGCUUUAUUUGUUACUAAUCAUCAAGUGUUCACCCCAAAAAUAAAUGUAUAUUAGCAUAAUAAGAUGAAACUUAGAACAUUAGUCAACUGCCUAAUCUAGCUGAUUAACAGCAAAAUCAAGCAUUAGCUAGGCAACAUCUUAUUCGUCCGUACGCAAUGAAAGCAAAUUGAAUUCCUGAACUCUCUAUUAUGGUUCUAUCAGUCAAUUUCCAGAAGCCAUAUAGGCUACAUGGCAAGGCAUCCUUGAUUGCAACCCAAUCUACUAGCUAUACCUGUACUUCUUUUUAUUAACAAAUACAUAUGGUAUUUUUCAAUUUUUUUUUAAAGUAAAUGUUGCAAUUGAUGAUGACUUUGAUAAAUAUAAAAGUCAAUUGUCGUUUUCCAUCCAUGUGUAAAACCAUUCUAAAUCAAAGCAAACAAAUUUGACCUUCUAAUUUGAAAUGUUCGGUGUGCCCAAACUGACAAGGACCGCUGGUGUGGUAUAGUUGACAGUUGCUCCUACUUUUAUUAUUUAUUGUAAUAAAAGAAAAACUUUGAAUUGUCUAUCAUGUAAUAAGAUCAUCAUUCAUUACAUGCGUAAAUUACCCAAGAUAUGCAAUUAUUUUCUAAAAUCUGGUAAUGAUUCCAAGCAGAAUAUCAGUGGAAAUGUUAAGCUGGCAUGGUGCCAGCAUAAAUUCUCUUCUUUAAGCAUCAAUUCUUUUUUCCAUGACCAAACCUUUUUUUUUACACUAUUUUGUAUUACACCAAUGCACACGUAAUCAAAUGCCAACUGUAAACAUGUCUAUCUACUUCCAUUUUUUCACUUGCAAGGAAAAUAUCCCUGAUCAAACCCUUGUACAGUACACUGCUGGCCAAAAUGGUGAUAUAUAUAUAUAUAUAUUUUAUACUUAUAUUAUUAUUUCACUAUUUAUUUAUUUUAUUUCUUCCNUGGUUAUAUAUAUAUAUAUACUAUAUAAUAUAUAUAUAUAUAUAUAUAUAUAUAUAUUUGUGGAGAAAAAGGAGUAAACGAAACAUAAAAGGGCACGAGGGGAGUAAAAGAAAUCAGGCCAGCCAAUGGCACCAUGACACUUUACGUACGCUAUUCAAUGUUAGCGUAGCCGCCAACCGGGUCAAAAAUUCUAGUGUCUGUGGACGCGUCUGGAAAAGACCACAUUAGUUCCCAAUACAUCGCCCUUCCAGGAAAUUGCCUAUACCACGGAAAACUCCCACUAUAUAUAUCAUCAAUUCGUCUCCAACAUCUCCUCGCAAGACAACCUUCCUUUCUGCUCUGUUAAUUUCUUCCGUCUCUCCCUUCCCCUGUUAAAAAGGAAAAACACCCAGGAACUGUCUUGCUUGUUUUCUUUAGUUAGUUUGAAGAUGCGUUCGAUGAGGUUUCCUGUUCUUCCAGUUAUUGGUUUCCUGUUCUUCGCACUUUUGCAACUCAGUUACGGGCAAAGCAUGGGUUCUUCUCCUGCACCUGCUCCUGCUUUACCAAACGAUGGUACCGCGGUUGAUCAAGGAAUUGCUUACAUGCUCCUCCUAGUUGCCCUGGCAAUUACCUACCUCAUCCAUUGAUUUUUAUUCAUAUAUUACUUUUUCUUUUUGUAUUUUCUCCAUGAAUUCAGCGACAGAAAUUGCAGCGAAUUUUAUAUUUUUUUUCCAUCUCUCUAUUGUAAAUCUCAUUCAAUAAAGUUUAUAUUUGAUACUAUGUAUGGUUAAUCGACCAAAAAAAUUGAUACUUCAUAACAAAAUUAACAAUUUAUAAGUCUUUAAGCAAAUAUUAAUUCCUUUGCAGUGAAUAAAUCUUAUACGAGUAUAGUGAAUCAUACUCUACCACCUCGAUAAUGACAACUAAAAAAUUUUAGAAGUCAUUCAAAAUAAUACAUAACUUAAUUUAAUUUUUAAUGAGAUAAUACAACUUUUUUUAUUUUGAUAAAUAUAAAAGAUCCAUACGAAACAUUAAAAAAAAAACCAAAUCAAUAAAGGCGAAGGAAGCCCAAGAGACACUAAAUAUACCGAUCCCCAAAAAUUCCAUUAUUUGAAGAAAAAGAAAAUCAUUAUAGAAAUUUUAGGAAAAAAACACUUAAAGUUCAUUGGGAUUAAAUUUUUUAUUUUAAAUUUUUUUAAAAAUUUUAAAUUUUUCACUGAUGAAGUGAUGAUAUGUGAUUUAUUAUAAGUGUAUAGAAUUUAUACACUGAUAAUAUAUCAAAUAUAAACUCUUACAAUUUUAAAUUUCUUUUCAUAAAUAUUCAUAUUCAAAGUAUAAUAUUUAUCCAAUGACAAUGUAUAAUAUAUGUAUUCCCUCUAUGGAUUCAGUGGGAGAUUUUGGUUUUUUUCCGUUGGUGUAUUGUAAAUCUCAUCCAAUGAAUAACUAUAUGAUAUAAUAUCUAAAAAAGACUUUUAAAUUAUUCAAAUAAGUUCUAUCUAUUUAUAUGUAAAAAAAAUUAAUACACACAAUAAACUUUGUUCAUUUUAAAUAAAUAUUAUUGAUUAUAUUUUCAAUAACAAUUAUAAAUUCAUAGUGAUAAAAUUUAUCUUAUACAUAUAUAAGAAUUUUAAUUCUAUUAAAUCGCUCUCAUUAAAUAGUGAUUUACUUGACUCAAUAUUAUUUAUUUAAUAUAUAUCUAAAUUAUAAUCAUUUUAAAUAUUAUAAUUAAAAAUAAAUAAAAAAAUUAAUACUAAUAAAAGUAGUGAUGAAUUCAAGGUUUUGAACGAAGAAUGAUUAAAGGGUAAUUAUACAAGUUCAUGUAUCGAGUUAAUGAUUCAAUUCAAAGCAAAAAUUAAUCACUUUUAAAAUAAAAUUAAAUCGAAGGUUACGCUUUGAGAUGAAUGGAUAGCUAAAUGAAGAGAUUACGAAAGAAGAGGUAAGAAUUGCUCUGUUCCAAAUGUAUCCCAGUAACGCUCUUGGACCUGACGGAUUCCCUGCCAUAUUUUGUCAAAAAUUUUGGGAAAUAUUGGCAAUGAUGUUUAUAAAUAUUUUGUUGAGUUUUGGAAGGAAGGACACAGGAUCUGAACUUUAACCACACACAUAUUGUCUUGAUUCCAAAAGUCAAACAACCGGAGUCAGUGACCCAAUUUCGGCCAAUCAGUCUGUGUAACACCCUCUACAAAAUAGCCUCCAAAGUUCUUAAACAGAUUAAAACCUUUUCUGCCUUCAAUCAUUUCAGAAAAUCAGAGCGCGUUUGUUCAAGGACGGCCAUUAGCAGACAAUGUCAUUGCGGCCCAGGAAAUCAUUCACAGUUUACAUAACAAGAGAUUGGGGAAAGUUGGCAAUUUUGCUCUUAAACUUGAUAUGAGUAGGGCUUAUAAUAGAGUGGAGUGGAACUGUGUUAAAGGCAUUAUGUGAAAGAUGAGCUUUGAAGGAAAGUUUUUGGAUAUGAUUUGGAGAUGCAUUUCAACUAUGUCUUACUCGGUUUUAAUCAAUGGGGUACCAGGACAGAGUUUUGUUCCAUCAAGAGGUUUACGUCAAGGAGAUCCUCUUUCUCCUUUUCUCUUCGUUAUCAUGUCUGAAGCUCUUUUUGGCCUUAUAAACUGGUCACAGGAGACAAACAUCAUCUCAAGAUUGAAGAUAUGCCGUAGAGGGUCAAAUAUCACCCACCUAUUGUUUGCUGAUGAUAGUAUGAUUUUUGGAAAGGUCAAAAGGCAAGAAAUACAAGUAUUGAAAGGAAUUUUUGAAAAAUAUGAAGCUGCUUUAGGACAGAAAAUUAACAAGGACAAAUCAGGCUUGCUUUUUAGCAGAAACACCCCAACUGAGGAAACAGUAAUGGCAAGUCAAAUUCUUGGUAUCAAUGAAGCUCAAUGGGGAGGAAUGUACUUGGGUAUGCCUUUAGUUGCAGGAGGGUCCAAAAAACAGAUGUUCCGUUUCCUCAAAGAAAGGGUUGUUAAACGCAUUUCUAAUUGGAAAAACAAAAUGCCAUCAGCAGCGGGAAGAGAAAUUCUUAUUAAAUCCGUGGCGCAAGCAAUUCCAGCCUUUUGUAUGAACUGUUUCAAAAUUUUGAAUUCUUUGUGUCAUGAUAUUGAUUCGGUUAUUGCACAAUUUUGGUGGGGUAGAAAUAAUACGACUCAAAAAAUCCAUUGGAAGAAUUGAAAAUCUAUGUGUGUAUCAAAAUUUUUAGACGAAAUGGGAUUUCGGGAUACAAAAAGCUUCAAUCUAGCCAUGCUUGCGAAACAAGGAUGGAAACUUCAGUUGCAAGUGCCCACACUUGCCUACAAAGUGCUCAAAGAAAGAUACUUCCCCACAACUGAUUUUUUGAAUGCUCUAAUUGGUACUAACCCAAGCUACUUAUGGAGAAGCAUUCGGGAAAGCCAACAGCUGAUUACAAUUUGGAGGGUAGGAGAUGGACAGAGUAUUAGUGUCUUACAUGAUGUUUGGAUUCCGUAUGAAUCUCCUAGGCUUCUAUCUUUUCCUAAUCAAUUGAUUGAUGAAAGAUGAAGGUAUCGGAGUUGAUCGAUCAAAGGACCAUGACAUGGAAUGAUGUGAAAAUAACAGAGAUUUUUCCUACUUAUGAACGUGAACUGAUUUUGUCCAUUCCUUUGAGCUACAGGCAUCCCAAUGACAAGCAAGUGUGGUUCUUUAACAGGCAUGGUCACUACUCAGUGAAAUCUGGGUAUAGAAUGGCUCAAUCUUUAUUGGACUUGCAGGUAGCGGAGAGUUCAAGUUGUAAUAUGAUGGCUUUCUGGAAAAGAAUAUGGCAUCUGGAAUUACCAGGGAAGGUUAUUUUAUUUUUGUGGAAGACUUUAAAUGGUAUUCUCCCAACCCGCCAAGCCUUAAUUUAUAGGAGCAUCAUAUCUGAAAACAAUUGCCCUUCUUGUGACAAUGAGCUGGAAACUGAUUUCCACUGUCUUUGUUGCUGUCCAUUAGCAAGAGCAGUUUGGCAUUUUUCUAAGUGGGGUUUUACUAACAUAGAGGUGUUGUUCUCUUCUGCACAAGAUUGGAUGUUUUAUAUUUUUUCCAAAUGAUGGAGAAUGAAGAGAUUGAAGAAAUUGGAUGUAUCUUAUGGGCUUUAUGGAAAGUUCAAAAUCUGAAGAUUUUUCAAGGAAAGAGCUUUGAGCCAUUGCAAAUUAUUGAGUUAGCUGGCAAUUUAUUAGAGCAAGACAGGCUUGUUAAGGGAGUAAGGUCAAGAAGGAGGAUCUUGCAGAUUAAUCGAACAUGUGAAUGGAGAGCUCCGGUUGAGAGCAAAUUAAAUGUGGAUGCCUCUAUUUUUGAGCUUUCAAGUGUAAGGCGGAUGGGAGUUGGAUUUAUUGUUAGGAAUGCAAUAGGAGAAGUUGAAUUGGCUGGAGUAAGAAGAAUGGUUAUGGGUCAAUCGGUGGAGGAAGCUGAAUUGUCUGCUUUAGCUUGGUCUCUUCGCUGCUGCCAAAGGGAGAAUAUCAUGGUUAAGGAAAUUGAAAUGGAUUGUAAGAUGGUGGUUGAAUGGAUAAAAGGAAGACAUUUGUCUGGUAUUCUGAGUCAUAUUGUAGAAGAUUGCCUCAAUUUGAUGGAGAGUAUUAAUUGUGUUGAUAUCCUCCAUUGCUCAAGAGAAGGUAAUGAAGUAGCGCACAUGAUAGCUAAAAAGGCAAAAGAAAUUAGAGAGGAAGCGAUUGCCUGGUUCAAUAUUUUCUCAAAUGCCGGAGGAUUUUUAACAAGCUAUCAUUAAAGAGGCUGGAAGCUUGGUCGAAGGAGAUUAGCAGUGUUGAGAAGAAUGUUUAUUGAAAAUGUUGUUUCAAAAUAUAUUUGUCAGUUGUUUUUAUUUAGUGAUGAUAAUGAAUUCAUAUUUUAUUUCAAAAAAAAAUUUAUAAUAUAAAAUUCUUUAACAAUUUAAAUAUAAUUUUCAGAUUCACUAAUACAAAUAGAUAUAAAAUAGAAAAAAUUAACAUUAAAUUUUCACAUUACGUAUUGCAAAAUUGUUACACAAUGUAUUUUUUACAUAAUUAUGCCAAGUGUUCAAACUUACAUCAAUCUAGUUACAGGAAAAUAUAUGCUAAAGCCAAAUCCUAUGAUACAUAUUAAUAGUUAUUUGGUUUGGAAAGAAAAAAUUAUAACAAAAUUUGUUUAAUUGGUUCAUGGAAAAGGAGAAUAAGAAAAAUGGUUUUUCUAAUGUGAUGAAUGAUAAUUGUUUGAUUAAUUCAUAAAAAAAAAUCAUAUAGUCCAAUACAUGUUAGUAGUUAUUUGGUUUGAAGAAAAAAAAAAAGAAAAAAAUUGUUUGAUUGAUUUAAGAUAAAAAGAAUAGGAGAAAGGGCUUUUUUAAUUUGAUGUAUGAUAACAGUUUAAUUGAUUAAAAAAAAGAGAAAGAGUUUUUUCAAUUUGAUGAAAGGUUUUUCUAAUUUCAUUAAUGAUAAUUGUUUGAUUAAUUUAAAAAAAAGGUUUUCCUCCAAAAAAUUUAUAAAAGAAAAAAAAUGUCUAACCAGCAAGUAUAUUAAACUUACAUUUUAAUAAAUAAGGGUAAUUUUGAAAAUUAAUAUUACAUUUAUAACAAAAUACUUAUAAAUCAAACGUUGUAAUAUUAUUUUCUCUAUAUUUUAAAAUUAUUUUGCUUGUAUACCAAACACUAUAUUGUUAUUUUCUUUGCAAUUGCAUUACUUUUAAUUAUAUGCAAUUACUUGUAAUCACAUUGUAUUGUAAAGUACCAAACGUUAUCUUACAUACAAUCACAUUAUCUGUAAUCAUAAUACAUUAUAAAGUACCAAAUGUCAUCUAAAACUUACCAUUAUUUCAAAAAAAAUUAUUUGAUUUAAUUAAUGAUGACAAAAAUAUCUUAAAUUUUAUAUAUAUGAUAAUAAAAAAAAUCUAAAAACUGAAGUCUCCCUCCGCCCUGUAUAAAAGCAUGAAUAUCUAAAAAAAACAAGUUGAUUAUAAAUUUUCAAUUAUAACAAUAAAUUAAUAGUAAUAAGAUUUAUUUUGAAAUAAAGACCCUGCAACAAAUACUAGCAUGAAAAACGACAAAUGUAAGAACUCAGAAUGUAUUAUGCGAAAGUUGUUUUAAUUGUCCAAAGGUCGGUCUAGCAUUUUAUAUAUCGUUUUUGAGAAAUGAAACAACAUUAGGCAUAUCACCAUAUUCAGACUUCUUUCCAACAAAGUGAGUAACGAGUUACAAACUUUUCAUAUCUAGUAACCCAUAAAUUUAUCCAAAAUUAAUUCAAAAGUUUAUUUUUUGCUCUUUUCCUAACUCAAUAACCUUCAUCCCCGCUGCUCUGCUCAUUCAAAGACUCUAUCUCAUCGACUUUUAAAUUAAAUCGUAUAAAAUUUUAAUUUCUAAUAAUUUAUCUAAUAGACACAUCCUUUUUUUUAUUAGCAAUAUAUUUAUCUCUUUGUAAUUGAUAAUAUAGACUAGUGAAAAAGGCAGAACAACUACAAAAUGGUUCAAGGUUACCAUUAAACUUUUUCGGGCUUCAUACCAUUAUCAAGCCCAACUGAAUAUAUAUACAAAGAGAAUUAUAAAUUUUAGUUUGAUUAAACUAAAAGAAUGCAACUAAAUAAAAUUUAAUUUCAAAAUUCCUCAAAAUUUUGUUAUAACUAUUUUUAAUAGGACACUAUAUUAAAAAAAAAAAAAGCUGAAAAUCCAUGUUAGAAAAAAUGAUCUCAAAUAAAAGAUUAGCUUUAUCCUUGUACUGAUAGGGGAAGAUACACUACUCCACCAACCCAUAAUAAGCAAAUGCAAGCCAAUCAGCUCCUUCCACGUAACUCCAUAAUGGCAUCCUACGUUGUAAGUCGUGGGCACUGCCUCUUCCAUGUCCAUGCCUUUGCCUUCUUCUUUCUCUCUUUUUCUGGCUUCAAGUCACCCACCGUCAUUUCUGUCUUUCCAUUUAAAAAAAAAAAAUUUCGAUCGCAUUAGUUUUUCCAUUUACUCUUCAAAAUUUUUUUUCAUGCCCCAAGCUUUUUAAAGCACGUGAUUAGUUUGCGUCAUUCUAAUUUCUUCUUCUUCUAAUAAAAAGGUAUAUAUCGUAUCGCUCCGUUUUAUCUGCUUGUCUUUUGGCUUUGUUGAAACAAAGGCAAAAAAAACGAUAAAGAAAACCCAGUAAAAGAGGCAAAUCGAUUUGGGUAUGUUGUAAUGUUUUUGUUUCUUGGGUGCAUUGUUUUAUGGCAAUCGGUUUCUGGGUAUUGAUUUUUUGUGCUUUUUUAAUAGAAAAUUUGUGAUUUUUUUAUUGUUUUAGGGUCAGUUUUUGGAUGAUCGUCUGUUUUGUGAAUAUCCAAAUUGAGGUUUGUUUGAUCGGUUUUUUGUUUGGGGCCGAUGCUGAAAUUUGUUGGAGUUUGAAACUAAAAUAAAAAUGAAAACUGAUUUGUAAAGCUUGAAACUAUAUUUAGGAAAGUGAUUGCUGUUUGGAUUUUCGAUGAUAUUUUUGUGUUUAGAACUGAUUUGGAUUCAGUUUUGAGUUAAGUGUGUUUUUUGCCUAGCUAAAAGAUCAAUGUUUAUUUCUGGUUUUUGUAAUGAUGAUCAGAGUGUGGUUUUUGCAGCUUGGAUGAAUAUGAUAUUGCAGUGCAUUUUUACUUAGAUGAUGCUUUACACUUAGUUCUUGAUGUUAUAAUCAUGCAAUUUAACUAUGGUUACUUGUCACUUGAGUUCUGUCUUUGUGAUGUAUAAUUGUUGAAGUAGAAUGUGUUAGGUUGCAAUAAAAUUGAAAUGGAUUAUGAAUUUUACACUAUGUUAUGAAUUCCCAUUUUGUGGGAUUGUUGUUUCUAGACUAUAUGUUUACCCAUUAACAUAUAUGUCGCUUGCUUUCUGUGGGUUUGAGAUACUUUGGUUGAAAAUUUGUAGUUUUUAGCUAAGGGGUGUUUUGAUGAUUAAAGAAAAUAUUGUGAAUAAUGGUUUGAUAGGAGGAGGUUUCUUUUUUGCAUGGGAAAAGAAUGCCAGAUUUGAGAGGUGGAAUUAGACGAUCAAAGAGGAUCAAUGACAACCAGGAGAGCCCUGCUGCCUUAGUUCCAACUGCUCGGCGUGGUGCUGGUAAUAACUCUUUUAAGUUUUAUCUUUAAAUCUUUUAUGUUUCAAAUCAAUCCACUUUACCUGCUGUUUUCUUGUGUAAAUCCAUCAUAGCUAGUAGAGGUAGAGGUAGAGGGCGCAGAGCAAUGAAUCAAGAUGACAAUGGCAAGCUUGUUGGUCCUGCUGCCUGUGGCAGGGGUUGCACUGGAUUAAACUUGCCAGUGAGGCAGGUAGUUGAGAAAAGUGCAGAAAGACUGGUUGCUGUCGAGGAAGAAGGAAGCACUAGUUCACUUCCUGAAAGGGUACUAAUUUUCUUCGCUGUUAAUCUGCCUUUUAGUUGUUAUAAUGGAGUGAUAAUGGAUUAAGAGCCUUGUGUUAGUGGGUGGGGAUGUCAGACUGUUUGAGGUAAAUGACCAGACAGACCUAAGGAACUGCGUCAACAUUCCCACUUCCCUUAUCAAGAAAAAGAAGAGGCACAAUAACUGUCUUUCUGGUUAUGCAUGAUUUUAUAAGUGUUGUAUAUGGUCAAAUCCGACAACUUACACAUAUGUUUCAUCAUCAAAUUUCAUGCCAAGCCUCUUUUUCAAGUGAUUUCUACUAAAUGUUCCAUAUGCUUCUCUUUUGACAGGUUCAGCUUGGUAACUCCCCUGUGUACAAGUUAGAUAGAAAGCUGGGCAAAGGGGGUUUUGGACAAGUUUAUGUUGGAAGAAGGAUCUCUGGUGGCACAGGGUGCAGUGGGCCUGAUGCCUUUGAGGUUCUGUUUCACUUGCAGCUCCAGUGAAGCUGAACAAAAUUCAUGGGAAGUUAAUUCUGUUACUAAUGCCAUUAUCCUGUUACAUUUUGUAGGUUGCUUUGAAAUUUGAACAUCGAAAUGGUAAAGGAUGUAGUUCUGGUCCUCCUUAUGAGUGGCAAGUGUAUAGGUAUGCAGAUUUUGUUCUUUCAGUCAUUUGAACUUUGAAUAUUAUGAGCUAAUUUAUUUUCCUGUCUCGAAAUUAUCAUUCAGCACUCUCAAUGGUUGUUAUGGACUUCCCUUGGUUCAUUACAAAGGUCAACUAGGAGACUACUACAUUCUAGUGAGUUCCUUUAGUAUAGAAUGUCAACUUCACUGUUGUAUUUUUGAAAAAAGGGAAAAAAAGAGUUUUUAUUGAUGUUUCUGGGAAUCUUGUGAAUCUAGGUCAUGGAUAUGCUGGGUCCAAGUUUAUGGGAUGUUUGGAACUCAAGCAACCAGAUGUACGGAACUAUUAUUCUCUCUUUCCCCCCUCAUUUUUUUACAUUAUCAUCAGUUUUCCUAAAAUGGUAUACUUUGAAUAUUUUGUAUCUAAAACCUUGUUGUUACUAUUGUUGUUGCUUUGGGUAUAGGCUGACUGAAGAGAUGGUUGCUUGUAUAGCAGUGGAGGCAAUAUCAAUUCUUGAGCAGCUUCAUCACAAAGGGUACUUUGAAAUUGUUACAUUCCAUUUUUUUUCCUCACUUCUUUUACUGCCUGUUGUAUUUUGUCCACAUUUCUUUUCUCCACUUCAGUUUUGUACAUGGAGAUGUUAAGCCCGAGAACUUUUUGCUUGGCCAGCCUGGGACCUCGAAUGAGAAGAAGUUAUAUCUAAUUGAUCUUGGUUUGGGUAUAGCUGCUUUCAUUUCUUUACAUCUUGGAGAUGUAUACUAUUUUAUAGCAUAUUAUUUUUGGAAUGGCUUAUAAUUCAGUUCUUUGACCUUUUUCAGCUUCAAGAUGGAAGGAGACAGCUUCUGGACGUCAUGUUGAUUAUGACCAAAAGCCUGAUGUCUUUAGGUGACUGACUCUAAGUACUAAGGCUGCUAUGUUUUGAAGAUGAACAUUUGUCAGAAAACUCCCAUUUUUAUUUUAUUUUUUUUUUCUAUGGAUAUAUAUGCUUAUAGAUUUUAUUGAAUAGCUAGCAUAAUUUUCCCAGCCUAUUUGCCUGCACUUACUUUUCAGACUGAAGGAACACAAGAUUUUGAAUCUUCAGAUUGCCACUUUGAAUUUA
Molecule: long non-coding RNA, 20644 nt
Filed under: Theobroma cacao (cacao)
Lineage: Eukaryota; Viridiplantae; Streptophyta; Magnoliopsida; Malvales; Malvaceae
Description: long non-coding RNA (TCAC_LNC005130)
Source: RNAcentral